This 441-nucleotide ribosomal RNA is filed under the name uncultured bacterium. Its description in RNAcentral is "bacterial SSU rRNA". It matches the Rfam family "Bacterial small subunit ribosomal RNA", at positions 338 to 796 of the family's 1533-position model. The record is from RNAcentral.
CCUACGGGAGGCAGCAGUGAGGAAUCUUGCGCAAUGGGCGCAAGCCUGAUCCAGCCAUGCCGCGUGAGUGAAGAAGGCCUUAGGGUUGUAAAGCUCUUUUGCCAGGGGCGAUAAUGACGGUACCUGGAGAAUAAGCCCCGGCAAACUUCGUGCCAGCAGCCGCGGUAAUACGAAGGGGGCUAGCAUUGUUCGGAUUUACUGGGCGUAAAGCGCACGUAGGCGGGUCAUUAAGUCAGGGGUGAAAUCCCGGAGCUCAACUCCGGAACUGCCUUUGAUACUGGCGACCUUGAGGCUGGAAGAGGUUAGUGGAAUUCCCAGUGUAGAGGUGAAAUUCGUAGAUAUUGGGAAGAACACCAGUGGCGAAGGCGGCUAACUGGUCCAGAUCUGACGCUGAGGUGCGAAAGCGUGGGGAGCAAACAGGAUUAGAUACCCCAGUAGUCC